UGGGGAAUUUUGGACAAUGGGCGAAAGCCUGAUCCAGCAAUGCCGCGUGUGUGAAGAAGGCCUUCGGGUUGUAAAGCACUUUUGUCCGGAAAGAAAUCCUUGGCUCUAAUACAGUCGGGGGAUGACGGUACCGGAAGAAUAAGCACCGGCUAACUACGUGCCAGCAGCCGCGGUAAUACGUAGGGUGCAAGCGUUAAUCGGAAUUACUGGGCGUAAAGCGUGCGCAGGCGGUUUGCUAAGACCGAUGUGAAAUCCCCGGGCUCAACCUGGGAACUGCACUGGUGACUGGCAGGCUAGAGUAUGGCAGAGGGGGGUAGAAUUCCACGUGUAGCAGUGAAAUGCGUAGAGAUGUGGAGGAAUACCGAUGGCGAAGGCAGCCCCCUGGGCCAAUACUGACGCUCAUGCACGAAAGCGUGGGGAGCAAACAGGAUUAGAUACCCUGGUAGUCCACGCCCUAAACGAUGUCAACUAGUUGUUGGGGAUUCAUUUCCUUAGUAACGUAGCUAACGCGUGAAGUUGACCGCCUGGGGAGUACGGUCGCAAGAUUAAAACUCAAAGGAAUUGACGGGGUCAUGCUGUUUCCU
This 584-nucleotide ribosomal RNA is filed under the name uncultured bacterium. RNAcentral's name for it is "partial 16S ribosomal RNA". It matches the Rfam family "Bacterial small subunit ribosomal RNA", at positions 355 to 932 of the family's 1533-position model. The record is from RNAcentral.